CCUACGGGUGACAGCAGUGGGGAAUAUUUCACAAUGGGGGCAACCCUGACGCAGCAACGCCGCGUGAGGGAAGAAGGCUUUCGGGUUGUAAACUUCUUUUCUCAGGGACGAAGCAAGUGACGGUACCUGAGCAAGAAGCCACGGCUAACUACGUGCCAGCAGCCGCGGUAAUACGUAGGUGGUAAGCGUUAUCCGGAUUUACUGGGGGGAAAGGGCGUGUAGGCGGGAAAGCAAGUCAGAUGUGAAAACCAUGGGCUCAACCUGUGGCCUGCAUUUGAAACUGUUUUUCUUGAGUACUGGAGAGGCAGACGGAAUUCCUAGUGUAGCGGUGAAAUGCGUAGAUAUUAGGAGGAACACCAGUGGCGAAGGCGGUCUGCUGGACAGCAACUGACGCUGAGGCGCGAAAGCGUGGGGAGCAAACAGGAUUAGAUACCCCGGUAGUC
RNAcentral lists this ribosomal RNA (443 nucleotides) under uncultured bacterium. Its description in RNAcentral is "partial 16S ribosomal RNA". It matches the Rfam family "Bacterial small subunit ribosomal RNA", at positions 338 to 795 of the family's 1533-position model. The record is from RNAcentral.